This 266-nucleotide ribosomal RNA is filed under the name uncultured bacterium. RNAcentral's name for it is "partial 16S ribosomal RNA". It matches the Rfam family "Bacterial small subunit ribosomal RNA", at positions 57 to 305 of the family's 1533-position model. The record is from RNAcentral.
GCAAGUCGAACGAGAAAGUUUCCUUCGGGAAACGAGUACAGUGGCGAACUGGUGAGUAACGCGUGGGAAAUCUGCCCUUUUAUGGGGGAUAACAGUUCUAACGAGCUGCUAAUACCGCAUAAGCCCUUUGGGUCGCAUGACCUGGAGGGGAAAGAUGGCCUCUACAUGUAAGCUGUCGUAGAAGGAUGAUCCCGCGUCCCAUUAGCUAGUUGGUGGGGUAAAAGCCUACCAAGGCGACGAUGGGUAGCCGGCCUGAGAGGGUGUCC